AUACUUACCUGGCAGGGGAGAUACCAUGAUCACAUAGAUGGUUUUCCCAUGGCAAGUCUUAUCCAUUGCACUCUGGAUGUGCUGACACCUGUGAUUUCGCCAAAUGUGGGAAACUCAACUGCAUAAUUUGUGGUAGUGGGGGAUUUUGUUUGCGCUUUCCCCUG
Molecule: small nuclear RNA, 164 nt
Organism: Gorilla gorilla gorilla (western lowland gorilla)
Lineage: Eukaryota; Metazoa; Chordata; Mammalia; Primates; Hominidae
Gene: U1
Rfam family: U1 spliceosomal RNA
About the family: U1 is a small nuclear RNA (snRNA) component of the spliceosome (involved in pre-mRNA splicing).
Source: Ensembl